GCGCAGCAGCAGUCAAUGGGUUUCGUCUCCCCUGCGAUCUCUGCCUUCCCUAGGGAAAAGUGCCUCCGACUAGGGUGUACAACGCAAAAUCUGUUGACCGGCUAAGCAAUUUAGUGGUGAUUCAAGAUAAAUUGUUCACUUUGGAUAGCCAUGUUCUGUAUCUGAUAUAUGAUUUAUGUGUUGAGCUCAAACAAACAUUUGCUUCUUUGCUUGUCUUGUCUGUGACUGAAAUGCAGCGCCCGUACAGUCGAUGUGUUAGACAGGUACAGCGCAAUGAAAACAAACUGGUUUUUUCUUUAGCACCGGUCUUUUGUGUGGCACAGAUGCUUAACUAGGCACCUCUGCUAUAGAAAUAACUACUCCUUCCGUUUCAUAAUAUAAAAGUGCUUUUUACACUACACUAGUAUAAAAAGCAAUGUCUCAUAAUAUAAAAGCGCUUUUUACACUACACUAGUAUAAAAAGCGCUCUUAUAUUAUGGGACAGAGGGAGUAGCGUUUAAGCACAGUAUGUUUCAUUUUUACAAGCACCAUUCUAUGUAUGCCUUGCAUACUCCCUUCGUCCCACAACAUAAAAUGUUUUCUGAAGCUAUGUUAGCUUAAAAAACAUCUUACAAUAUAAAAUGUUUUCUGAAGCUAUGUUAGCUUAAAAAACAUCUUAUAUUACGUGUCAUAGGAGUGCCUUGGUACUUGCGUGUUUUAAAUGAAAAAAUGGGUAGGAAAUUACCUAAUUUAUACAUUAAACGACAAAAAAUGGCCUUGUAUAAAUAAAAGAGGCAUGAUAAAUGCCUGGCGCUUAUAUAUCCUUGAUAAUUGUUGCCAACCUCCUCAAUUGUAAAGUAGGAAAGUUCCCUCUAACUUACCUUGGCCUCCUUAUCUCUGACCGCAAGCUUCGCAUCACCGACUGGGAACCUCUUUGUGCUACGGUUAGCAAGAGGGUUGGGCCGUGGCGUGGCAAGUUUAUGUCAUCGGGUGCUAGACUUACGCUUAAGGAUUCUAGCUUAUCGUCGCUCCUGAUGUUCACGAUGGGCCUUUUUCUUUUGGCUAACGGUGUGCAUGCCAAGUUGGACACUCCCUACUCCAAGUUCUUUUGGAAAGGAGCUGGAGUAAAGCGCAAAUACCACUUGAUCAAAUGGGCGGCAAUAUGCAGGCCCAAAAAGUUUGGGAGCUUGGGCAUUACUAACACUAAAACUAAAAGUUUGGUAAGGAGUGCUAUGUACAUAGUUUUAGUUUUGUACAUAGCCCUCCUUACCAAAUGGAUCUGGAAGCUCUCCGAAAAUGUGUCGGACUUUGGGCAGAGCUUCUCAAGGCAAAAUAUUUUCCCAACGUAUCCCUUUUUGAAGCCACGAGUAGGGGCUCGUUUUUUUGGAAUGCAAUCCCAAAAAAUAAAACUUGCCUUUCCCUUGGGCGCACGUUUUUCCCUGGACAAUGGUAGGUAUGUUCGUUUCUGGCUUGAUAGCUGAUGUGGGGAUUCACCUUUAUGGCAGGAGUACCGUAGCCUCCUCUUUCCCAUUGUUAUUGCCAGUGAGAUGAGACACCUAUGGAAAGUUGCGGUCCCGCUUAAAGUAAAAACCUUUCUUUAGCAAUUGUUUCACAAUCGUUUGCCUACUUCCGAUAAAAUUGCCAAGCGAAAUGGACCCUCAAUCGGUCAUUGUACUAUCUGUGCAGUGAUGGAAGACGCGAACCACGCGUUUUUCUGUUGUGCUAUAGUCAUAUUUGCAUGGAGUGUCGUCCGUGAAGCUUCUAGACUAGACAAGAAUCCUCGGUCCUCUUGGACUUGGUCCAACUCCUUUCUCCCUUUCCUUUUUUUUGAGCAUCAGUACAGACACAAGCGCUCAUAUACACGCGCAUACACUCACCCCUAUGAACGCACACACACCCUACCCCUAUGAGCACCUCCGAGAGACUGAGCUGGCAUAUCAUCUUGAAAUUUACGAAGUCAUCGUAGGCGCCUCGUCGUCGACGGGAACGUCUCCUCCCACUGAAAGCGCAUCGCCAGAAAUCCUGAAAUAAAUCCAGGAGUAAUGCGAGCAUCAGGAUUUAAACCCUGGUGGGUUGGGAAUACCACUGCCACCUAACCAACUCAACCACAGGUUGAUUCGCCCUUUCUCCCCUUCCUGGGGGGUGGAAAUCGUGUUAUGUGGAUGUGCGUAGGGGCGCUUUUUUUUGUAUUUGUGGAAUAUUCGUAACAAGUUUAGUAUUGAAGCUGUUUUCCCUUUGCACCCGGCUAACUGCCCAUUCCAAACUAAUCUCUAUAUGCAGCAGCGGCGGCCGCUGGGGAAGGCAAGAGACAGUGAGCAGACGGAGAUGGCGACCGGCAAACUUCGUCAGGUUUACACCAUGGCUAGGUCGACCAUCGAAGCUUAGGGAAGCUCUUUUAUUUUGGAUUCCGCUAUGAGGCUGCGUGCUCUUCGAGGUCUGAUGCCUCUCGCUUUGUUACCUCAGUCUGUUUGUGACUUAUGACUACGCUGGUUCUGUUAGUAUGUUGGAUCUUGGAUGCAGUCGUUCUAAAAAAUUUUACUAGUGUAGUCGACGAGUGAAGUUUGGCCGCCAAUAGGAGACAUCCAUCUCGUAGGGGAAGAAGACGAGCACGUCCCCGGGCGGGAUCUUGCAAACCCCGCGGACCCUCCUGGCCGCCAGCUCGAGCAUGAAGUACCACGACGGUGAGGGCCCCUCCGCUCCCGGCAUCCGCACGAAGACGUAGCCGCUCCGCUUGUCUCGCCAAACCACCGCAGCUCCAGCCGCUCGCUCCACUGCCCAGCUGGCCGCCGGAUGCUCUCCGGCUGGACCAGGACCUGCUUGGACCAGCCUCCGCCCUCGCGGGAGCCAGACAGCGUCCAGAGUGAUAUCUCCAGCCCGGUGGCGACGAGCAGUCCCGGCUGCCUCGCGUGGCCGCCGUCGGACACCAGGAGGACUUCCUCGGGUCCGCGCCCACGCAGUGCCUCGCCGCAGUGACCGUCGAUCUUAGUGACGGACGCCUGGAGCGGCGCGUGUGACAACUUGAGGACGAAGUGGCACUCGACCGACCUGCACAGCCAGUGGGUGUCACCUUGGAGAACGACUGGAGGGUGCAGGAGCGCGGCAUCCUGAGGGCACGGAGCUACCGCGGUCUCGGCGAUGGCUUGCCACAGCCUGGCGUGCUCGGCCGGCGAGAAGGCCUGGGUCUUUAGGUGACCUGAAGACAACUCCGCGGCGAGCAGGCGGUAGCGGCGGCCGUCGCCGGUGAGCAGGACGAACGACUGGGCAUUGAUCCCAGGUGGCCCAAAGCAGUGGAUGUAGCCCGUCAUAGGGUCGAACACACAGGCGCCCGCCGGUUCAGUCUCGGGGGUGGCGUCGGAGCGGAGGGCGACGAGGCCGUGCCGCGCUGCCAGGACGGGGUGGUAGAAGUCGAAGAGGGUGGUGUACUUGGACAGAAAGGAGCGGAACGGCUCGGGGGGCGGCUCCUUGGAGCGGCCGGGGACGACGAACCGCGGGUGCUCGGCCGCCGCCGCGCGCAGGUUCUGGAUGAACAGGCCGGGGACGAGGAACCGCGGGUGCUCGGCCGCCGCCGCGCGCAGGUUCUGGAUGAACAUGCCGCGGAACAGCGCGGGCACGAACCGGUCGGCGCCUCGGAGGCGGAGCGGGGAGAGGAAAGCCGGGUCGGCGAUCUGGCGCCGAAGGGCCUUGCAUGUGGCGGCGCAGCGCACGAGGGUGACGGGGUCGGAGCGCGCCGCGAUCUCGAGCAGGAGGUCCGCCGGGAGGAUCGAGGAAGACAUUGACAUGUUGGAUGGUUCCAUGUUGUUUUUUCUCUUUUUGAGGGACGGUUCCAUAGUUGAUGAGAUUGGUAUUGUGUAUGUAUGCUAGAGGACGAUACAUACCUCUAUAUCGAGCGAUUAGGGCCGGCCCAUUUCGGACUCCACCCAAACCUUUCUGUGUCCGGUUUUGGAAAUGUUCCACGGGUUUCCACAUGGUUUAUUCCCGUUUUAUUUUCUCUUCAUUUUUUCUUUCCCUUUUUUCCAAUUUCUUUUUUUCCUUUUUAUGUUUUUCGGAUUCCUUUUUUCCUUCUCAUUCCUGUUUUAUUUUCUUUCAUUCUCGUUUUUUGUUUUUCAAAAGAUGUUUGACAAUUUAAAACAUGUUCACCUUUCAAAAAUGUAUUCCUUUUUCAUAAAAUGUUCCAGUUAUGUAAAAUUCAGAAAUUUAGAAAAGUCAGAAAGUACAACUUUAUGUUCGCCUCUUACAAAAAAUGUACAAAAAUUCAAAAAACUUAAUAAUUUCAAAAUUACCAUAAAGUUUUGCAUUUGCAAAAAAAAUUCACAAAUUUGAAAAUUUUCGCUAAUUUCAGGAAAUGUUCCUGUUUUUCAAAAUUUGUUCACAAAUUCAAAAACAAUAUGUUUUAUAAAUUGUCCACAACUUCAGAAAAUGUUCAGGCAAUUUCAUAAAAUCUUUGCUUUUUUGAAAUCUGGAAAUUGUUUUUUGUUUUCUAAAAGAAUUUUUGGAAAUUGCAUAAAUUGCUCAUAGUUUUGAAAAAAUGUUCUCACUUCAAAUGUUUGUCACAAAUUCAAAAUAGUUUCUAAGUAUGUUCAAAAGUUUCACAAAUGAUUUUUUUUCAAGAGUUUCAUAAAUUGUUCAGAAUUUUACAAAAAUGUCCCCGCUUGCAAAUUUUGCUCACAAAUUCGAAAUGUGUUCUCUUUUUAAAAAAAAAUUGUUCUCAAUUCAAAAAAUGUUUCACAUGUUUCGAAGUUAUUCACAAAUUCAAACAUUGUCCACCUUUUUAAAAAUCAAAAUCGCAUUUGUCAAAAUUAUUCGGAGUUAUAAAUACUUGGAAUUUUCAAGAAAUGUUUUUAAAGAAAUAAGUAAUAUUCCAAACUGGCGCUGCUAUUAAUUCUUAAACUCUUCUCAAGACGUAUUAGACGCAUACCCUUACAAGCUUGUUUGGCUAGCUACGUUUGCUGGUGAGCAAAUGGUCGCGAGUUCCAUUCCAGCAAUGUGCACUGCAUUUUUGGCAGGGAGCUCCUAAAUUGGCGCGUUCAAGGCCGUUCGCAUGAGCCAGCCCACUAGCAUCCUCGCUUGCUCCAAAAUAACACCAAAUGGUCUCUACUACCUAAAGACUGGUCGCUUGCUCAAAAAGAAUAAUCAGAAAAUCCCAAAAAACGUAAAAAUUCAAAAACAAAAUAAGGAAUUCAUAAAAGUUCAAGCAUUUGAAAACACUCAAAAACGUUCAUGAACUCAAAAAUAGUUAAUUAUUUUGAAAAAUCUUUCACCAAUAUGGAAAAAUAGUUUGUGAAUUCGAAAAAAGUUAAUCAAUUUUGAAUAAAAAUUUCAAUGAUUUUUAAAAAAGUUUAUCGAUUUUGAAAAAAAAAUCAAAAAUUGUAAAAAUAAAUUUUCAUCAAUUAUGAUAAAAAAUUCAUCAAUUUUGAAAAACAGUUCAACGAUUUUGUAAAAAGUUUGCAAACUUUUAAAAAUAGCUCAUCGAUUUGAAAAAAAGUUUAUAAAUUUUGAAAAAAGAUUAUGAACUUUAACAAAAAGUUCAUCAGUUCUAAAAAAGAUUAUGAACUUUAACAAAAAGUUCAUCAGUUCUAAAAAAGAUUUAUUGAAUUUUUGAAAGAUGUUUCAUCGAAUCUGAAAAUAAUCUGCAUUAUUAAAAAGAAAAAGAAAAGGGGGAAAGGGAAAAGGGAAAAAGGGAAAUAAUACAGAAUAAACAAAUAAGAAGAAGACCAGUCCAGGAAAAACAAAAUAAUAAACAAAAAAAAUCGGCUGGGAAGCUUCUGGAAGCUUGCCAAAACCGGAAAGGGAUCUCUCUCGUGGCACCCAUAGAUGGGCCGGCCCAGGUAAGAUGCCUUCAGCGCCAGUUAAUGAAUUGCACGUUAACGGGCCUGAAGGCAUCAAAUAGGAAAUGCCACGUCAAUGAUCCGGGAAUUGUUGGAAGUUGAGUGAGCGCCCUUCUAUACUAGGGAUCCGGUUUGCCUGCUCCCUUCCCAUGCUCCCAUAUACUAGAGGGAUACGCACGCGUUGCUGCGCGAGUUUCCAAAGCUUGCGACAGACUUGUAGCCAGCACGCGCGUCGCUCCUAUGGUUCCUUUCUCAUGCUCUCCUAGUCACCAUGCAUCAUACACUCCCUCCAUCCGAAAAAGGAUGUCGCGUGUGUAAUACAAUGCUUAUUUUUUAAAAGGCCCUCGUACACUCAAAGCUGUGAAACAAGGUCCCUAUCUCCUUCCUUCGUGCCCCGACCGUCGCCCCCUGCCACCCCGCGGCCGGCGACAGGUGAAAAACAAAUGUUCUGCCAUCAGAUAUAUAAAUAGUAAAACCGAAAAAAUGAGUCCCACCACCUACUAAAAUAAACGAGUGAAUUAAACAAGGAGAGGCCGUCACCGAGGAUUUCAUUUUUUUAGGCCGAGCAAAUAUAAACUGGGCUUUGGCCUGCCCAGCCUAGUACAAAGAACAACUAAGAAAAGAGAACCAGAAGGUCGAGAGCCAGCUUCCCGUAAAGAAAAGAAAAAAGGUCCAGGGUCAUCCAUCAGGCGAAGAUCUUCUCCGGUGAGCGCCACGGCAUGGACUUCCCUGGUGAAGCUCUGCUUCGCCUGAGCCUUAAAGCUGCGCCCUGCCAUGUAGCGUGCGACGGUGACCGUCGCAUUCCCUGUGCUCAGCCGGACAGUCAUCAUGAUCCUUACUGCUGAGCAGUGUUUGCCGGUGUGGAGGGCAGAGGCCAUUCAGUGGAUGCCACACGGAUUGGCUGGGUAUUUUUGCAGACUCGGUUACAUCCCACAGUCACCGCUCCUCCGAAAUGCAGGGAUGGAACUGAUCAUGUCUUUGGCCUGCGCCGCGCGUUCCAUCCUCUGCUGACCAAACUCUUAUUAGGCUGAUUGAAAGGUUUCUGUUUUGGCAAAAUUUGGCGCCGAAUUCCUGGAAGAGGAACAACAAACCGAUCACUGAAACUCUGGAGGACAAGACAUGAAUUCUUGUUAACAAUCAAGAUGAGAUAGUAUUUCAAGGUGCUUUUUUAAACAAAAUUAAAAAGGAAGCUAUUCUAUACCGAUCAACUGAAAAAAAAA
This 7024-nucleotide long non-coding RNA is filed under the name Triticum aestivum (bread wheat). Its description in RNAcentral is "long non-coding RNA (TAES_LNC014124)". Lineage: Eukaryota; Viridiplantae; Streptophyta; Magnoliopsida; Poales; Poaceae. The record is from RNAcentral.